This 450-nucleotide ribosomal RNA is filed under the name uncultured bacterium. Its description in RNAcentral is "partial 16S ribosomal RNA". It matches the Rfam family "Bacterial small subunit ribosomal RNA", at positions 338 to 795 of the family's 1533-position model. The record is from RNAcentral.
CCUACGGGUGGCUGCAGUAAGGAAUAUUGGUCAAUGGACGAAAGUCUGAACCAGCCAUCCCGCGUGCAGGAUGAAAGCCCUAUGGGUUGUAAACUGCUUUUAGCAGAGAAGAAAAGCUUUCAUUAAUGAGAGUCUGACGGUAUCUGCAGAAUAAGCACCGGCUAACUCCGUGCCAGCAGCCGCGGUAAUACGGAGGGUGCGAGCGUUAUCCGGAAUUACUGGGUUUAAAGGGUGCGUAGGCGGGGGAUGAGAAAUGUUGUGGCUUAACGAUAAAAUUGCCAAUGGUACUGGUACGCUGGAAUUGGGUUGAGGUUAGCGGAAUGUGACAUGUAGCGGUGAAAUGCAUAGAUAUGUCAUGGAACACCAAUUGCGAAGGCAGCUAACUGGGCCUUGAUUGACGCUGAGGCACGAAAGCGUGGGUAGCGAACAGGAUUAGAUACCCCAGUAGUC